AGUAAAACUACUGGGUCAUAUGGUAAAUCUAUGUUUAACUUUGGGAAGAACUGCCAAACUGUUUCCCACAGUGACUACACUAUUUUAUAUUUCCACUAGCACU
RNAcentral lists this microRNA precursor (103 nucleotides) under Marmota monax (woodchuck). The record is from RNAcentral. Lineage: Eukaryota; Metazoa; Chordata; Mammalia; Rodentia; Sciuridae.